CCGGGUUUAUCGUAGGAUCUU
Molecule: non-coding RNA, 21 nt
Filed under: Arabidopsis thaliana (thale cress)
Lineage: Eukaryota; Viridiplantae; Streptophyta; Magnoliopsida; Brassicales; Brassicaceae
Source: RNAcentral